This 531-nucleotide ribosomal RNA is filed under the name uncultured Gammaproteobacteria bacterium. Its description in RNAcentral is "bacterial SSU rRNA". It matches the Rfam family "Bacterial small subunit ribosomal RNA", at positions 45 to 567 of the family's 1533-position model. The record is from RNAcentral. Lineage: Bacteria; Pseudomonadati; Pseudomonadota; Gammaproteobacteria.
GGCCUAACACAUGCAAGUCGAGCGGAAACGAUCCUAGCUUGCUAGGAGGCGUCGAGCGGCGGACGGGUGAGUAAUGCUUGGGAAUCUGCCCGGUAGUGGGGGAUAACGUGUGGAAACGCACGCUAAUACCGCAUACGUCCUACGGGAGAAAGCAGGGGAUCUUCGGGCCUUGCGCUAUCGGAUGAGCCCAAGUCGGAUUAGCUAGUUGGUGGGGUAAAGGCUCACCAAGGCGACGAUCCGUAGCUGGUCUGAGAGGAUGAUCAGCCACAUCGGGACUGAGACACGGCCCGAACUCCUACGGGAGGCAGCAGUGGGGAAUAUUGGACAAUGGGCGGAAGCCUGAUCCAGCCAUGCCGCGUGUGUGAAGAAGGCUCUAGGGUUGUAAAGCACUUUCAGUGGGGAGGAUAAGUUAUCGGCUAAUAUCCGGUAAUGCAGACGUUACCCACAGAAGAAGCACCGGCAAACUCCGUGCCAGCAGCCGCGGUAAUACGGAGGGUGCGAGCGUUAAUCGGAAUUACUGGGCGUAAAGCG